Molecule: ribosomal RNA, 722 nt
Filed under: uncultured Lactobacillus sp.
Lineage: Bacteria; Bacillati; Bacillota; Bacilli; Lactobacillales; Lactobacillaceae
Description: bacterial SSU rRNA
Rfam family: Bacterial small subunit ribosomal RNA
Source: RNAcentral
UCUUGGUUAAAGGUUUUAGGUGCUUGCAUUUAAAUGAUUUAACAUUGAGACGAGUGGCGAACUGGUGAGUAACACGUGGGUAACCUGCCCUUGAAGUAGGGGAUAACACUUGGAAACAGGUGCUAAUACCGUAUAACAACUCAAACCACAUGGUUUGAGUUUGAAAGAUGGCUUCGGCUGUCACUUUAGGAUGGACCCGCGGCGUAUUAGCUUGUUGGUGAGGUAACGGCUCACCAAGGCAAUGAUACGUAGCCGACCUGAGAGGGUAAUCGGCCACAUUGGGACUGAGACACGGCCCAAACUCCUACGGGAGGCAGCAGUAGGGAAUCUUCCACAAUGGACGAAAGUCUGAUGGAGCAACGCCGCGUGAGUGAUGAAGGGUUUCGGCUCGUAAAACUCUGUUGUUGGAGAAGAACAGGUGUGAGAGUAACUGUUCACAUCUUGACGGUAUCCAACCAGAAAGCCACGGCUAACUACGUGCCAGCAGCCGCGGUAAUACGUAGGUGGCAAGCGUUGUCCGGAUUUAUUGGGCGUAAAGCGAGCGCAGGCGGUUUUUUAGGUCUGAUGUGAAAGCCUUCGGCUUAACCGGAGAAGUGCAUCGGAAACCGGGAGACUUGAGUGCAGAAGAGGACAGUGGAACUCCAUGUGUAGCGGUGAAAUGCGUAGAUAUAUGGAAGAACACCAGUGGCGAAGGCGGCUGUCUGGUCUGUAACUGACGCUGA